GUGCACGGUCAUAGCGGUGGUUUUUACCCGGUCCCAUUCCGAACCCGGAAGUCAAGCCCACCUGCGUCAGUUUCGGUACUGUGGUGCGAGAGCCCACGGGAAGUUCUGUCACUGUGCCCC
This 120-nucleotide ribosomal RNA is filed under the name Candidatus Poseidoniaceae archaeon. The record is from RNAcentral. Lineage: Archaea; Methanobacteriati; Thermoplasmatota; Candidatus Poseidoniia; Candidatus Poseidoniales; Candidatus Poseidoniaceae.